AUGCAAGUCGAGGGGUAUGCUUCUUCGGAAGCAGAGACCGGCGCACGGGUGCGUAACGCGUAUGCAAUCUACCUUUCACAAAGGGAUAGCCCAGAGAAAUUUGGAUUAAUACCUUAUAGUAAUACGACUUGGCAUCAAGAUGUAUUUAAAGAUUUAUCGGUGAAAGAUGAGCAUGCGUCCCAUUAGCUAGUUGGUAUGGUAACGGCAUACCAAGGCUACGAUGACUAGGGGAUCUGAGAGGAUGACCCCCCACACUGGUACUGAGACACGGACCAGACUCCUACGGGAGGCAGCAGUAAGGAAUAUUGGUCAAUGGAGGCAACUCUGAACCAGCCAUGCCGCGUGCAGGAAGACAGCCCUCUGGGUCGUAAACUGCUUUUAUUCGGGAAUAAACCUACUUACGUGUAAGUAGCUGAAUGUACCGAAGGAAUAAGGAUCGGCUAACUCCGUGCCAGCAGCCGCGGUAAUACGGAGGAUCCAAGCGUUAUCCGGAUUUAUUGGGUUUAAAGGGUGCGUAGGCGGCCUGUUAAGUCAGGGGUGAAAGACGGUAGCUCAACUAUCGCAGUGCCCUUGAUACUGAUGGGCUUGAAUACACUAGAGGUAGGCGGAAUGUGACAAGUAGCGGUGAAAUGCAUAGAUAUGUCACAGAACACCGAUUGCGAAGGCAGCUUACUAUGGUGUCAUUGACGCUGAGGCACGAAAGCGUGGG
This 709-nucleotide ribosomal RNA is filed under the name uncultured bacterium. Its description in RNAcentral is "bacterial SSU rRNA". It matches the Rfam family "Bacterial small subunit ribosomal RNA", at positions 55 to 765 of the family's 1533-position model. The record is from RNAcentral.